UUUCCGUAGGUGAACCUGCGGAAGGAUCAUUACCUAGAGUUGUAGGCUUUGCCUGCUAUCUCUUACCCAUGUCUUUUGAGUACCUUCGUUUCCUCGGUGGGUUCGCCCGCCGAUUGGACAAAACUUAAACCCUUUGUAGUUGCAAUCAGCGUCUGAAAAAACUUAAUAGUUACAACUUUCAACAACGGAUCUCUUGGUUCUGGCAUCGAUGAAGAACGCAGC
Molecule: unclassified non-coding RNA, 222 nt
Filed under: uncultured fungus
Lineage: Eukaryota; Fungi
Description: sequence contains ITS1, 5.8S rRNA gene
Rfam family: 5.8S ribosomal RNA (bases 174-222)
Source: RNAcentral